This 66-nucleotide transfer RNA is filed under the name Chrysotimus molliculus. RNAcentral describes it as "tRNA-Ile". Lineage: Eukaryota; Metazoa; Arthropoda; Insecta; Diptera; Dolichopodidae. The record is from RNAcentral.
AAUGAAUUGCCUGAAAAAGGGUUACUUUGAUAGAGUAAAUCAUAUAAUUUUUAAUUAUAUUCAUUA